This 382-nucleotide transfer-messenger RNA is filed under the name Coriobacteriales. RNAcentral's name for it is "QAMH01 sp902783925 Standard tmRNA". It matches the Rfam family "transfer-messenger RNA". Rfam says of the family: Bacterial tmRNA, also known as 10Sa RNA or SsrA, is named for its dual tRNA and mRNA-like properties. Its role is to liberate the mRNA from a stalled ribosome. To accomplish this part of the tmRNA is used as a reading frame that ends in a translation stop signal. The record is from RNAcentral. Lineage: Bacteria; Bacillati; Actinomycetota; Coriobacteriia. RNAcentral also lists the same sequence under 1 other name.
GGGGGUGACUGGUUUCGACAUGAUAGCUUGAGCGAAAGGCAGCAAGCCGUGGUCUCCUCGCCACGUUAAACAGGGGUACAGCCAAUUAACUGGCAAAGUUGUUUCUUUCAAGGGCGCGCAGCGUCAGCAGCUCGCCCUGGCUGCCUAAUUUAGGUUCAGCCCUCCCAACCUGCAGUUAAAUCCCUGACUGCAGCACGGGAUCAUUUUCAGGGGAUUGCUCUUGCGGACGUAGUCGGUAUGCCGCAAGCUAAGAUGAACCGGCGGAAGCGCAGCGUGCUUGUCGUUGUGCAAGGUGCGUUUCCUAUGCAAACAGCGACUGAGCUUGGAGACACCUUUCGUGGGGCUACCGUGGACCGGAGUUCAAUUCUCCGCACCUCCACCA